Molecule: long non-coding RNA, 3575 nt
Filed under: Sus scrofa (pig)
Lineage: Eukaryota; Metazoa; Chordata; Mammalia; Artiodactyla; Suidae
Description: lncRNA (ENSSSCG00040059389.1)
Source: RNAcentral
UGCUUGUUUGUUUCUGUUCUGUCCAUUUCAAUGUGUUGAAAAUAUUGCUCCAUAUAGUCACAGCCUGGAUGCUAGACCACCUCAUAUUACAAUAUUCUCAGUGGUAAGAAAAAGAAGGAAGCACCCAGGCAGAAGAGGUCUUCGCCUUUUUUUGUUACAAGUAUCUUUCACAUAAAUCUAUGCUGAGUUCUCAUUACAUCCCAUGGACUAGAACUGGAUCAUAUAGCCACAUUAGAUUAGCAGGCGCUAACAAGGAACACUGAUUAACUUAGUCCAUCAUGAAUUAUCUUCCCAGCUUGUGUUUAGCUCCAAUAAAAAUGUAUAUAGGGAAGACGGCAGAAUAGAAGGACUGGAGCUCAACUUCUCUCCUAAAAACAACAAAAUUCACAACUAAAGGCUGAGCAAUCUCCACCCAAAUGGACCAGAAACCUUAAAAAAGAUACCCUACUCCAGAAGAAAAAGAGGAGGCCACAUCAAGAGGUAGGAGGGGUGAUUUCGUGAUAUAAACAACCCCAUACCUCCAGGGUGGGAAGCUCCAUAGACUGAAAACUAACUGGAUCACAGAGACUCAUCUACAGGAGUGAGAGUUCUGACCUCCACAUCAAACCUUCAUGUGCUGGGAUCUGGUACCAGGAAAAAGAGCCCCUGGAGCAUCUGGCAUUGAAGGCCAGUGGGGCUCGUGUGCAGGAGCUCCACAGGACUGGGGGAAAUGGAAACCCCAUUCCUAAAAUGCACACAUGAACUUUCAUAUGCAGGGGGUGCCAGGGCAGAGUGAGGUCUCCAUAGGAAUCUGGGUCAAACCUGACUGCAGUUCUUGGAGGCCAUCCUGGGAAAACUGGGGUGAAAGUGGCUUGUUGUAAGGAAGGGACAUUUAAGGCAAAGCUCUCGGGAAUUUUCAGCAGCUGCCUUUCUCUGGAGGUGGCCAUUUUGGCAAAAUCUGGCCCCACUCAUCAGUCAGUGCUGAGAAGCCCCAGGGCAAACAACAACCCAGGUGGGAUCACAGCCCUGCCCCUCAGUAAACAGGCUACCUGAAGAAACCUUAGGCACAUGGCUGCCUCUAAUUCCAUCCAGAGACUAAGCCCCACCCACCAGAGGGAUUAGAAUCAGCUCCACCUACCAGGGGCAGGCAUCAGCCCCUUCCAUCAGGAAGCCUACAGCUAGCCCGCCAUACCGACUUCAGCCACAAGGGGGGCAGACACCAGAAUAAGAGAGGCUACAACCCUAUUAUCUGUAAAAGGGUCACUACACCAAAAACCGAUAAAAAUGAAAAGACAGAGAACUAUAACUCAGAUGAGGGAGAAAGGAAAAACCCCAGAAAAUAAGCUAAGCCAUGAGGAGAUUCUUAGCCUCUAGGAAAAAGACUAGAUCGUUGAAGCUGAAGAUGAUGCAAGACAUUGGAAAUAAACUGGAGGCAAUGAUGGAUAACUUACAGGAAACACUGACCAAAGAGAUACAAGAUAUAAAACUUAAACCAGAAGAGAUGCAAAAUACAAUCACUGAAAUAAAAAACUCACUAGAAGCAGCUAACAGCGGAAUACAGGAGGCAGAAGAACGAAUAAGUGAGGUGGAGGACAGAUUAGUGGAAAUGACGGAUGCAGAACAGAAAAGAGAAAGAAGAUUGAAAACAAAUGAAGAGAGUCUCAGAGAACUCUGGGACUCACAACGUGAAACACACCAACAUCCAUAUUAGAGGGGUGCCAGAAGGAGGAGAGAGAGAGAAGGGGACAGAAAAAAUAUUCCAAGAGAUAAUAGUCAAAAACUUCCCUCACAUGGGAAAGGAACCACUCAUCCAAAUCCAGGAAGCACAAUGAGUACCAUAUAAAUUAAACCCAAGGAGGAAUACACUGAGACACAUAUUAAUCAAACUGACCAAAAUGAAAGACCAAGAGAAAAUCUUGAAAGCAGCUAGGGAAAAGAAACAAGUAACAUACCAGGGAACCCCAAUAAGGUUAUCGGCAGAUUUUUCAGCAGAAACUCUGCAGGCCGGAAAGAAGGGGCAUGGUAUACUUAACAUGAUGAAAGGAAAACACCUCCAACCAAGAUUACUCUACCCAGCAAGGCUCUCAUUCAGAUUUGAAGGGGCAAAUCAAAACCUUCACAGAGAAGCAAAAGCUGAGAGAAUUCAGCAACACUAAACCAGCCUUACAACAACUACUGAAGGAACUUCUCUAGGCACAAAAGAAAAGAAAGCAACAGGAAACAAAAAUUCCACAAAUGACAAGGCUCACCAGUAAAGGUAUAUAUACAGUAAAGAUAUGAAAUCAUCCAUGCACAAUUAUACCACCAAAGUCAGAAAUCAUGAGAAGAGGUGGGUACAAAUGCAGGACACUGGAGAUGAACUUGCAAUUAAGAGAACAACAACUUAAAACAAUCUCAUAUGCAUAUAGACUCUUAUAUCAAAGCAAAAAUCUACAACUGAUACACAAACAAGGAAUCUCUGCAGAAGAAAUAUAUCUCAUAGUAAAUAAGUGCGUAAUCCACCAUGAAGGGGGUUAUUUGACAUCAUUCUUGGAAUGCUGAAUUCUUCUUAGAACUGAUUCUGAUUUCCUCUCCAUCAAAGAAUUUAUGAUAAUUAUAAUUAAAUAAUGCAACUGUACAAUUAAAUAAUACAGUUCUACAAUUGUAUUAUUAAUAACCAUUUCUCUCCAUGGUACAAUGUAAGGUCUAUAAUGUCUUGUUUAUCACAUCACCUAGAAUGGUGUAAUGCCUAUAUUGAAGAAUCAAUAAGAUGUAACAAAUUGUGAGGACAUAUUUAUAUAGUUACACUGUUUUUUAACCAAUUUAUGCAUUUUAUAUUUUACUUAUUUUCAGAGGGUGUAUUAUUUUUGUUAUUCUUACCAGUUAAGUUAUUCUUUUUAUUAUGCUAUAUAAAAUAUUUAAUGGUAUAUAAGGCUUUCUUCUUUAUAAAUUUUAGUUGCAUAAUAUAUACAAUUUUAAUAUAAUGCUAAUUUUUAAAGAAAAAUUGAAAUGUAAUAGAUAAUACUAAAUAGUAAAGAUGAAAGCCAUACAAAAUGGGAUAAAGCAUAGAAUAAAUUUCCUAUUUGUCUCAGCAUAUUUUCCAUUCCACUUCUCCAGAGGGAGAUAUUUAAUCUGUUUCUUAAGAUCCAUGAUAUAAUAAUCUUGUGAAUGUAAUUGUGUUCAAAUAUAUGUAUUUUAUUAUUUAAAAAAAUAUUCUGUGAUAAUCUAUGUGGGAAAAGAAUGUGAAAGGGAAUGGAUAUAUGUACAUGUAUAACUGAAUCUCUGCUGUACAGCAGAAACUGUCACAACCUUGUAAAUAAACUAUACUUCAAUAAAUUUUUUUAAAAUGAAAAAAAAUGUAUAUAGGCAUUCUUCUGACAAUAAUGGAGGGAUGGCUGCUAGAUGUAAUGAACAGUAUCCACUUUGCUGCAAUUCCUACUGAGAUCUACCAAAGUGUUUUCUGAUGAAAUCCUGCACCAUGGUCUUCAUUAAUAAGAAUUCUUCUUCCUUUCCUUUAAACCACUUUAUUAAAGUAUGAGUUACAAGUAAAAUUCUAUAAUAUAUUUUUGUAAACAACUUGGAAGCAUAUAUCUAUGAAAUAAUAAGCACAAUCUGUA